UGACUCCUUGAGAGUCCUGAAGGAACGUUGAAGACUACGACGUUGAUAGGCCGGGUGUGUAAGCGCAGCGAUGCGUUGAGCUAACCGGUACUAAUGAACCGUGAGGCUUAACCUUACAACGCCGAAG
RNAcentral lists this ribosomal RNA (127 nucleotides) under Escherichia coli. Its description in RNAcentral is "partial 23S ribosomal RNA". It matches the Rfam family "Bacterial large subunit ribosomal RNA", at positions 2808 to 2925 of the family's 2925-position model. Lineage: Bacteria; Pseudomonadati; Pseudomonadota; Gammaproteobacteria; Enterobacterales; Enterobacteriaceae. The record is from RNAcentral.